GAUGAACGCUGGCGGCGUGCCUAAUACAUGCAAGUCGAGCGAACAGACGAGGAGCUUGCUCCUCGGACGUGUGCGGCGGGCGGGUGAGUAACACGUGUAUAACGUACCUAUAAGACGGGUAUAACUUCGGGAAACCGGAGCUAAUACCGUAGAAGAUAUUGAACCGCAUGGUGCAAUAGUGAGAGACGGUGUUGCUGGCACUUAUAGAGGGAUCCGCGCCGCUUUAGCUAGUUGUUAAGGUAACGGCUUACCAAGGCAACGAUGCGUAGCCGAAGUGAGAGGCUGAUAGGCCACCCUGGAACUUAGACACCGUCAUGACUACUACGGGAGGCAGCAGUAGGGAAUCGUACGCAAUAGGCGAAAGCCUGACGGAGCAACGCGGCGUGAGUGAUGACGGUCUUCGGAUCGUAAAACUCUGUUAUUAGGGAAGAACCACUGUGUAAGUAACUAUGCACGUAUUGACGGUAACUAAUAAGAAAGCACCGGCUAACUACGUG
Molecule: ribosomal RNA, 497 nt
Filed under: uncultured bacterium
Lineage: Bacteria
Description: partial 16S ribosomal RNA
Rfam family: Bacterial small subunit ribosomal RNA
Source: RNAcentral